This 497-nucleotide ribosomal RNA is filed under the name uncultured bacterium. RNAcentral describes it as "partial 16S ribosomal RNA". It matches the Rfam family "Bacterial small subunit ribosomal RNA", at positions 28 to 507 of the family's 1533-position model. The record is from RNAcentral.
GAUGAAUGCUGGCGGCGUGCCUAAUACAUGCAAGUCGAGCGAACAGAUAAGGAGCUUGCUCCUUUGACGUUAGCGGCGGACGGGUGAGUAACACGUGGGUAACCUACCUAUAAGACUGGAAUAACUCCGGGAAACCGGGGCUAAUGCCGGAUAACAUUUAGAACCGCAUGGUUCUAAAGUGAAAGAUGGUUUUGCUAUCACUUAUAGAUGGACCCGCGCCGUAUUAGCUAGUUGGUAAGGUAACGGCUUGCCAAGGCAACGAUACGUAGCCGACCUGAGAGGGUGAUCGGCCACACUGGAACUGAGACACGGUCCAGACUCCCACGGGAGGCAGCAGUAGGGAAUCUUCCGCAAUGGGCGAAAGCCUGACGGAGCAACGCCGCGUGAGUGAUGAAGGUCUUCGGAUCGUAAAACUCUGUUAUUAGGGAAGAACAAAUGUGUAAGUAACUGUGCACGUCUUGACGGUACCUAAUCAGAAAGCCACGGCUAACUACGUG